AUGAACGCUGGCGGCGUGCCUAAUACAUGCAAGUCGAGCGAACAGACGAGGAGCUUGCUCCUCUGACGUUAGCGGCGGACGGGUGAGUAACACGUGGAUAACCUACCUAUAAGACUGGGAUAACUUCGGGAAACCGGAGCUAAUACCGGAUAAUAUAUUGAACCGCAUGGUUCAAUAGUGAAAGACGGUUUUGCUGUCACUUAUAGAUGGAUCCGCGCCGCAUUAGCUAGUUGGUAAGGUAACGGCCUACCAAGGCAACGAUGCGUAGCCGACCUGAGAGGGUGAUCGGCCACACGGGAACGGAGACACGGUCCAGACUCCUACGGGAGGCAGCAGUAGGGAAUCUUCCGCAAUGGGCGAAAGCUUGACGGAGCAACGCCGCGUGAGUGAUGAAGGUCUUCGGAUCGUAAAACUCUGUUAUUAGGGAAGAACAAAUGUGUAAGUAACUAUGCACGUCUUGACGGUACCUAAUCAGAAAGCCACGGCUAACUACGUG
Molecule: ribosomal RNA, 496 nt
Filed under: uncultured bacterium
Lineage: Bacteria
Description: partial 16S ribosomal RNA
Rfam family: Bacterial small subunit ribosomal RNA
Source: RNAcentral